RNAcentral lists this ribosomal RNA (470 nucleotides) under Salmonella enterica subsp. enterica serovar Thompson. Its description in RNAcentral is "bacterial SSU rRNA". It matches the Rfam family "Bacterial small subunit ribosomal RNA", at positions 1 to 467 of the family's 1533-position model. The record is from RNAcentral. Lineage: Bacteria; Pseudomonadati; Pseudomonadota; Gammaproteobacteria; Enterobacterales; Enterobacteriaceae. RNAcentral also lists the same sequence under 4 other names.
AAAUUGAAGAGUUUGAUCAUGGCUCAGAUUGAACGCUGGCGGCAGGCCUAACACAUGCAAGUCGAACGGUAACAGGAAGCAGCUUGCUGCUUUGCUGACGAGUGGCGGACGGGUGAGUAAUGUCUGGGAAACUGCCUGAUGGAGGGGGAUAACUACUGGAAACGGUGGCUAAUACCGCAUAACGUCGCAAGACCAAAGAGGGGGACCUUCGGGCCUCUUGCCAUCAGAUGUGCCCAGAUGGGAUUAGCUUGUUGGUGAGGUAACGGCUCACCAAGGCGACGAUCCCUAGCUGGUCUGAGAGGAUGACUAGCCACACUGGAACUGAGACACGGUCCAGACUCCUACGGGAGGCAGCAGUGGGGAAUAUUGCACAAUGGGCGCAAGCCUGAUGCAGCCAUGCCGCGUGUAUGAAGAAGGCCUUCGGGUUGUAAAGUACUUUCAGCGGGGAGGAAGGUGUUGUGGUUAAUAAC